RNAcentral lists this ribosomal RNA (429 nucleotides) under Pseudomonadota bacterium. Its description in RNAcentral is "Proteobacteria bacterium partial 16S ribosomal RNA". It matches the Rfam family "Bacterial small subunit ribosomal RNA", at positions 355 to 776 of the family's 1533-position model. The record is from RNAcentral. Lineage: Bacteria; Pseudomonadati; Pseudomonadota.
UGGGGAAUAUUGGACAAUGGGCGAAAGCCUGAUCCAGCCAUGCCGCGUGUGUGAAGAAGGUCUUCGGAUUGUAAAGCACUUUAAGUUGGGAGGAAGGGCAGUAAGCGAAUACCUUGCUGUUUUGACGUUACCGACAGAAUAAGCACCGGCUAACUCUGUGCCAGCAGCCGCGGUAAUACAGAGGGUGCAAGCGUUAAUCGGAAUUAUUGGGCGUAAAGCGCGCGUAGGUGGUUCGUUAAGUUGAAUGUGAAAGCCCCGGGCUCAACCUGGGGACUGCAUCCAAGACUGGCGAGCUAGAGUAGGGCAGAGGGUGUUGGAAUGUCCUAGGUAGCGGUGAAAUGCGUAGAUAUAGAAAGGAACACCAGUGGCGAAGGCGACCACCUGGGCUCAUACUGACACUGAGGUGCGAAAGCGUGAGGAGCAAACAGG